This 478-nucleotide ribosomal RNA is filed under the name uncultured bacterium. Its description in RNAcentral is "partial 16S ribosomal RNA". It matches the Rfam family "Bacterial small subunit ribosomal RNA", at positions 28 to 523 of the family's 1533-position model. The record is from RNAcentral.
GACGAACGCUGGCGGCGUGCUUAACACAUGCAAGUCGAACGGUAAGGCCCUUCGGGGUACACGAGUGGCGAACGGGUGAGUAACACGUGGGUGAUCUGCCCUGCACUUCGGGAUAAGCCUGGGAAACUGGGUCUAAUACCGGAUAGGACCACUGCCUGCAUGGGUGGUGGUGGAAAGCUUUGGCGGUGUGGGAUGGGCCCGCGGCCUAUCAGCUUGUUGGUGGGGUGAUGGCCUACCAAGGCGACGACGGGUAGCCGGCCUGAGAGGGUGACCGGCCACACUGGGACUGAGAUACGGCGCAGACUCCUACGGGAGGCAGCAGUGGGGGAUAUUGCACAAUGGGCGCAAGCCUGAUGCAGCGACGCCGCGUGAGGGAUGACGGCCUUCGGGUUGUAAACCUCUUUCAGCACCGACGAAGCGCAAGUGACAGUGGGUGCAGAAGAAGGACCGGCCAACUACGUGCCAGCCGCCGCCGUAA